GCGGUGUUGGCGGAAUUGGUAGACGCUAUCGCAAGGUUGUCGUAAGACAUACAGGUUCAAGUCCUGUACACCGUACCA
This 78-nucleotide transfer RNA is filed under the name Candidatus Pelagibacteraceae bacterium. Its description in RNAcentral is "tRNA-OTHER". It matches the Rfam family "tRNA". From Rfam's summary of the family: Transfer RNA (tRNA) molecules are approximately 80 nucleotides in length. Their secondary structure includes four short double-helical elements and three loops (D, anti-codon, and T loops). Lineage: Bacteria; Pseudomonadati; Pseudomonadota; Alphaproteobacteria; Candidatus Pelagibacterales; Candidatus Pelagibacteraceae. The record is from RNAcentral.